Molecule: long non-coding RNA, 931 nt
Organism: Etheostoma cragini (Arkansas darter)
Lineage: Eukaryota; Metazoa; Chordata; Actinopteri; Perciformes; Percidae
Exons: 3
Source: RefSeq, a predicted model, not a curated record
UCCUCUUUCCUCACCCAGGUCUCUCCUCUUUACCUUUGAACCCAGGCCCAGCAGCCCAUCUCUGAUCUACAGAGGGUCUCCUCUUACCCCCGUCCCCUCGCAGGCCCCUAUGAUAGAUGACCAUCAGCAUGCCAAUACUGCACAAUAUUUCAAUUUCCUGCCCAGGAAGAGGAAUUUAAGGGGUUGAUUGAAGUUCAGAGGCACAGUGUGAUGCCUCCAGCUCCCAACCAGCCCCCAGCCUCGUACUGAAGACCCAAGAUCCAAACAUUCAGCCGAGAACAUUCCAGAAACCAGGUCCUCUCUGUGUCAACAAAACAACCCCUGCUGCCAUCGUCCUGCCUGACAGACUGCAGCGCAGAGGACACUGACAGGAGACCCAACAGCCUCUGUCCUGGGAAGAAAAAGAAGAGAGCAGAAGAGAAGACGGCCACUGUUUGCUGCUCGACUUUUGAAGCGUCUUUAUCGGGCUUGGCAGCGUGGUCCUGCGUGUCCAAGCCUCGUCGUGCUUUUCAUCCUUUGUGAUGUCCAAGGAUCAGUUAGUCUGAGUCUGAUGAAGGUCAGCGCUGAAUCCUGGCCUGCUAUUAGACCAGACCAAGAUGAAGUCUCUUCAUCAGGGAGUGGCAGGUUUUACGCUCACAAACGCACACACUUACACACCUCACAUCUGUGUUUAUUCACGUCCCUAAAUGCACGUGCACACACACACGCACAAUCUGCCUCACCCUCGCAUAGACAUAUGCAUACAAAAGCACACCUGUCAGGGUCUUUCCACUGUGUGAGCAAAAGCAAAGAAGUCUGGCCCCCCCUUUGUCUCUCUGUAUGUGGUAUCCCAUGUCUCUUAUAUUAAAGCAAAUCCAUUCAGUUCCCACUUUCUCAUCUGAAAUAAUGGAACGCGCAAUUUUCACAUUUAGACAAGCAAGGACACAUGCAG